AGAGUUUGAUCAUGGCUCAGGAUGAACGCUGGCGGCGUGCUUAACACAUGCAAGUCGAACGGGAUCCCGGGGGUUCGCUCCCGGGUGAGAGUGGCGAACGGGUGAGUAAUGCGUGACCGACCUGCCCCAUACACCGGAAUAGCUCCUGGAAACGGGUGGUAAUGCCGGAUGCUCCGGUUGGAUGCAUGUCCUUCCGGGAAAGAUCCAUCGGUAUGGGAUGGGGUCGCGUCCUAUCAGCUUGAUGGCGGGGUAACGGCCCACCAUGGCUUCGACGGGUAGCCGGCCUGAGAGGGCGACCGGCCACAUUGGGACUGAGAUACGGCCCAGACUCCUACGGGAGGCAGCAGUGGGGAAUAUUGCACAAUGGGCGCAAGCCUGAUGCAGCGACGCCGCGUGCGGGAUGGAGGCCUUCGGGUUGUAAACCGCUUUUGAUCGGGAGCAAGCCCUUCGGGGUGAGUGUACCCUUCGAAUAAGCACCGGCUAACUACGUGCCAGCAGCCGCGGUAAUACGUAGGGUGCAAGCGUUAUCCGGAAUUAUUGGGCGUAAAGGGCUCGUAGGCGGUUCGUCGCGUCCGGUGUGAAAGCCCAUCGCUUAACGGUGGGUCUGCGCCGGGUACGGGCGGGCUGGAGUGCGGUAGGGGAGACUGGAAUUCCCGGUGUAACGGUGGAAUGUGUAGAUAUCGGGAAGAACACCAAUGGCGAAGGCAGGUCUCUGGGCCGUCACUGACGCUGAGGAGCGAAAGCGUGGGGAGCGAACAGGAUUAGAUACCCUGGUAGUCCACGCCGUAAACGGUGGAUGCUGGAUGUGGGGCCCGUUCCACGGGUUCCGUGUCGGAGCUAACGCGUUAAGCAUCCCGCCUGGGGAGUACGGCCGCAAGGCUAAAACUCAAAGGAAUUGACGGGGGCCCGCACAAG
Molecule: ribosomal RNA, 915 nt
Filed under: Bifidobacterium dentium
Lineage: Bacteria; Bacillati; Actinomycetota; Actinomycetes; Bifidobacteriales; Bifidobacteriaceae
Description: bacterial SSU rRNA
Rfam family: Bacterial small subunit ribosomal RNA
Source: RNAcentral